CCUACGGGUGGCUGCAGUGGGAAUAUUGGACAAUGGGGGCAACCCUGAUCCAGCCAUGCCGCGUGUGUGAAGAAGGCCCUCGGGUUGUAAAGCACUUUCAGUGAGGAAGAACGCCUGGUGGUUAAUACCCAUCAGGAAAGACAUCACUCACAGAAGAAGCACCGGCUAACUCCGUGCCAGCAGCCGCGGUAAUACGGAGGGUGCGAGCGUUAAUCGGAAUUACUGGGCGUAAAGCGCGCGUAGGUGGCUUGAUAAGCCGGUUGUGAAAGCCCCGGGCUCAACCUGGGAACGGCAUCCGGAACUGUCAAGCUAGAGUGCAGGAGAGGAAGGUAGAAUUCCCGGUGUAGCGGUGAAAUGCGUAGAGAUCGGGAGGAAUACCAGUGGCGAAGGCGGCCUUCUGGACUGACACUGACACUGAGGUGCGAAAGCGUGGGUAGCAAACAGGAUUAGAUACCCCGGUAGUC
RNAcentral lists this ribosomal RNA (464 nucleotides) under Vreelandella stevensii. Its description in RNAcentral is "partial 16S ribosomal RNA". It matches the Rfam family "Bacterial small subunit ribosomal RNA", at positions 338 to 795 of the family's 1533-position model. The record is from RNAcentral. Lineage: Bacteria; Pseudomonadati; Pseudomonadota; Gammaproteobacteria; Oceanospirillales; Halomonadaceae.